This is a long non-coding RNA of Triticum dicoccoides, 1121 nucleotides long. RefSeq lists it as uncharacterized. Lineage: Eukaryota; Viridiplantae; Streptophyta; Magnoliopsida; Poales; Poaceae. The record is from RefSeq and is a predicted model, not a curated record. The transcript has 3 exons.
UUCAAACAAGUACUAGUAGACAUUUCAUGCAACCAUGAAACAAGCUUCUUGAUCAUAACUUGUAUACAUCAAAAAGAAAAUAUAGCCGGAUCAUAGUGGACCCAGCCGGUCACAGCAAAGAGAAAACAUGGCUGGCAGUCUAAAGGGGAACACAAUCUGGACCUGAGCCUAACCAUGAUGGUGAUUGUACUCAUAGACUGGCAUUUUACUUGGCGGAUGGCCUCAAGGCAUGCUUGGCUGGUAUGGAGAGGCGAACAAGUACUGCAUACUGGUUAGGGGGUUACAGCCUUUUUCUAGCAUCUUGCCCUUUCAACAUGGGUCAUACUACUUUACCAACCAAAUUAUUCUUGAUGUCUCACAAAGGCAACCAAAGGUGCACACCGUCGAUUUUGGCAUUGGCUUCGGCAUCCAGUGGCCAUUAAUGAUUCAGAGGUUUGGAUAGAAACAAGAGGGAGUCCCUAAGCUUCGGAUCACAGUUGCCUUUUCAGUACCAGGGGGCAUUGCCGCUUCAAGAUGGGAGAUCAUUAAAUUGAGGAUCUGAACAUUGACGAGGACGAAAUUCAGAUAAUCAACUGCAUGUUCCGGAUGAAGAAUCACAGUCACGAACUGAAGCCGUAAAUAGUGCAAGGGAUAAGGUGCUGAAAAUUAUGAGGAGGAUGAACCCAAGAAUUUUUAUCUCUGGCACCGUGAAUUGGCUACGCGGUUCUCCCUUCUUCAUACAACGGUUCAAGGAGGUUAUGUUCCAUUACACUUCAAUGUUUGACAUGCUUGAUGCAAAUGUUCCACGGGACAAUAAAGAAACAAAGAUGAUUGAGAGGAUCCUAUUCGGGCAGGAGCCACUUAACAUCAUAGCAUGUGAGAGUGCGGAAAGAACUGAGAGGCCAGGAAGUUAAAGGCAGUGGCAAGCAAGGUGCCUCAAGGCUGUGUUCCAGCCGCUUCCUGUCGAUCCAGCCAUCUUAAAGAACAUAGUAUAAAUGAAGAACUCACUUUCUAUAAGGAAUUCUUUGCUGUUGAAGAUUGCGAUUGGCUGCUAUAAGGAUGGAAAGGGGGAGUACUUUAUGCUAUAUCUAAAUGGAAACCUAAUGAAACAUAUGAUGAUAAGUAAGAUUCGAACAGUUUUA